UUCUAGAAAUAUUCUUAAUUAAGUUGGUCUUGGGUAUUCAUCGGUGCUAAGAUUAACUUUCUUUAAUGGAUCUUUAUGAUCUUCAUUUCUUCUUCAAGUUAUAGUUGUGCAUCUCCAAUAUUUUCCUCCUCUUGAGGAUCAUCAUUAUUAAUAAAUAUAUAGUAAUACUAGAAAAUAUCUUCUACCUCUUUGUCAUCUUUUAUUUGAGAGGAGGUAUUGUUCUUACUCAGGGUUAUAAAAUGAUAUGAGGGUCCUAUACUUUCUUCAUAUUCCAUACGUUCCUUGGUAUAAACCACAUGAAACCACAAGAUCCCUAUUUUGCCUCAUUUUCACAAUGAUGUGGUUAUUAACUGUCCUUAUUUUAGAGAUACAAAUAGGCGAUGGUGGUAUGCUUGUCGGAUAGUAGCUUCUGAUGGGAGUUUCUCCAAUUUUGAUGGCCAGGAUUGUAUCCAUUCUUCAUAAAUAACUUGUAAGAGUUUAGAUUAAAGCCUUAUUUUGUACAUUUCAUACGGAAUGUCAUAUCUCACGCCAGGUUCCUAUCUACAAAUUCCCCAAGUAGCUUUGAGGAUAAGUUUAUGGCACUAAUAUACUUGAUCAAAAGAGUUAGCCCCCUCGUACAUUAUCAUGAACAUUGGAUGAGUUUCCUUCCUCUUUCCUUAACUUUGGUAAAUAGAAAAAUAUAGAAGUUUCUUUCUUUUUCAAGGAUGCAACUUUUAUUCAAAGUAUUAGGAGGCUUCUUAAUGGUGACUUUUUCAAUAGCCACCUCAACCUUCUUAGCUGCGAGAUCGUCACACUUGCUUGUUCUGACAUCAACAACUUUUUUCUCCAUCAUGAAAUAAUUCUUAGAGUAGAAUUUUGCAUCUAAAAAGUGUGAUUAAACUUCAUUGAAUAUCUUAUCAUUGGAUACUAUUUUCCUUUUUGCUCUAUCUUUAAGAUAAUUAAAGCAUUAAUAGUAGGAGGAUGACAUAAUUUUAUUCUCGUGCACCCAAUGUAUACCAAGCAAUAUAUUGUAUUAAGUCUUCACGUUUAUCACAUGCAUCAAUAUGUUUGAUAGCAAAUGAUCCAUAUGUAUCUCUAACUUGAUGUAACCUAUGGCCCACUAAACCUCUUGAUUGAACCCUUAAAUCAUCAAACAAAUUUAAUUAAGUUCAUCAUUUAUGAUUCCAAGUUCUUUCAUUAUACAAAUAGGCAAGAUGUCGAUUCCAGAUCUUUCGUACUUUAAGAUUAUCUUCAUUUUCUUCUCUUGAACAUGGCCCACUAUAUAUAUACAAGGGACGAUUGUGUAGAAUCUAACGAAAUAGGAGAUCAUUAUCUGUAAAUAUAUUUUUGUAUUACAUGUAUGUAAUUUAUGGUAAAGAGGUUCAUUAGGAUUUUCAGAAGAUGGAUGAUCUUCCAUAGAUAGGUUUUUGAUCUUAGGUGUGUGUUAUUAUCAACACAUGUUUAGCUUGGUUCUGAGGAUAACUUCGUAUGCUUAAUGACAUAAAAUGUAUUCUUCAUGUAUUCAUGUGCUAAAUUGUAUGUUUAGAUUAUUUAAGGUGCAUUUGAAAUAAUUCAAGAGCCAAAAUGAUCAAAUAGAGAUUAGACGAGAUAACUAGUAAGGCUAGCCUAAAUUAUGCAUGAUCGAUUAUAGUUUGAUGAGCUUUAAUUAAUUUUAUGGCCUAAUUUUUAUUAUGAGUUAUUGUAGGAGACCGUUGGAGAAUAUAUGGAAGAUAAAUGAGGCCUAUACUCAAGCCACAACUAGUGGGAAAACAAAGAACGAGUUAGAUGAGAAGUAUAGGACAAAUUGGAUGAAAUCUCAAGGCAAGGGGCUUGGCCAUGUGCCGUACCCCCCAAUCAUGGGUAGUGUACAUGUGAUACACCCCUAAAUAAUGGGGAUACUUGUUUGUCCUUGAUAUAGGCCAUGCUCCACAACCCGUUGACUGUGCGAUGCAACCACCUCCCCCCUCCAAAAUGACUAAACUUGGUUUUCUACAUUGUUUAAGUUAAGGGAAAAGUGGUAAAUGCUUAUUUUUCAUAUGGGAAAUCUAAUGAAAGACCUAAAGGGAUAUAUAAAUAGUAAUUAUCCCCAAUUUAAGGAACCUUUAGAAUAAGACAUGAUUGGAGAGAGGAGAAGGAAUCAAGGGCUCUAGUCAAGAGUUUUUCUUCCUUUAACUUCUAUUUUCAUAUAGUUUUACUUAUACAUUUAGUAAUGGUGAUUAUUUGUACAAAUUUGAGUGGAUAAACACUUUAUUUAUAGCGUUGAGACUAC
RNAcentral lists this long non-coding RNA (2248 nucleotides) under Capsicum annuum. RNAcentral's name for it is "long non-coding RNA (CANN_LNC014540)". The record is from RNAcentral. Lineage: Eukaryota; Viridiplantae; Streptophyta; Magnoliopsida; Solanales; Solanaceae.